This is a long non-coding RNA of Dendronephthya gigantea, 453 nucleotides long. RefSeq lists it as uncharacterized. The transcript is spliced from 4 exons. The record is from RefSeq and is a predicted model, not a curated record. NCBI's taxonomy places the organism in Eukaryota, Metazoa, Cnidaria, Anthozoa, Malacalcyonacea, Nephtheidae.
GACAGCCCGGUGCAUAAAACGUGUAUAUUUCUCGCGAGUUUGUCGAUAGGAAGGAAAGAUUUCAACGAGUAUAUAGGUGAGCUGUGUAAAGCCCAUUUGAAAAUGAAACUUGUGUACAUCUCUAGCCUCGCACUGGUUCUGCUAUUUCUGAGUGCUGAAGCCUCACCUGUUGCCAAUUAUGGCGGUGACGACUACGAUGUCGAAUUGAACAAUGAGUAUGACGAAUGGAAAAACAAACGAAGCAUGUGUAAUUUUCCACUAGAACCUUGCAAUCAAUAUCUCCGAUACUUUGGUAACGUUAAUGGUUGUUGCCGUGGCUCGACAUGUUCCUAUGGUAUAUGUGUUAAGCAUGGUCGUGGGUAGCGCGAACUAAAGACAAGAAAGAACAUAUAUUCAAUAAUUAAGUUAAACCAUAAAUAUUGUCAACUCAAGAUGAUCACAACUCAAUAAAGU